AUUGAACGCUGGCGGCAGGCUUAACACAUGCAAGUCGAACGAUGACUCUCUAGCUUGCUAGAGAAGAUUAGUGGCGGACGGGUGAGUAACAUUUAGGAAUCUGCCUAGUAGUGGGGGAUAGCUCGGGGAAACUCGAAUUAAUACCGCAUACGACCUACGGGUGAAAGGGGGCGCAAGCCCUUGCUAUUAGAUGCGCCUAAAUCAGAUUAGCUAGUUGGUGGGGUAAAGGACGACCAAGGAGACGAUCUGUAACUGGUCUGAGAGGAUGAUCAGUCACACCGGAACUGAGACACGGUCCGGACUCCUACGGGAGGCAGCAGUGGGGAAUAUUGGACAAUGGGGGCAACCCUGAUCCAGCCAUGCCGCGUGUGUGAAGAAGGCCUUUUGGUUGUAAAGCACUUUAAGCAGGGAGGAGAGGCUAAUGGUUAAUACCCAUUAGAUUAGACGUUACCUGCAGAAUAAGCACCGGCUAACUCUGUGCCAGCCGCCGCCGUAA
Molecule: ribosomal RNA, 496 nt
Filed under: uncultured bacterium
Lineage: Bacteria
Description: partial 16S ribosomal RNA
Rfam family: Bacterial small subunit ribosomal RNA
Source: RNAcentral